RNAcentral lists this transfer RNA (69 nucleotides) under Rattus norvegicus (Norway rat). It matches the Rfam family "tRNA". From Rfam's summary of the family: Transfer RNA (tRNA) molecules are approximately 80 nucleotides in length. Their secondary structure includes four short double-helical elements and three loops (D, anti-codon, and T loops). The record is from Rfam by way of RNAcentral. Lineage: Eukaryota; Metazoa; Chordata; Mammalia; Rodentia; Muridae.
GGGGAUUUAGCUCAGUGGAAGAGCGCUUGCCUAGAAAGCGAAAGUCCCUGGGUUUGGUUCCCAGCUCCG